RNAcentral lists this long non-coding RNA (17438 nucleotides) under Ananas comosus (pineapple). Its description in RNAcentral is "long non-coding RNA (ACOM_LNC022235)". The record is from RNAcentral. Lineage: Eukaryota; Viridiplantae; Streptophyta; Magnoliopsida; Poales; Bromeliaceae.
AUUUUUAAUAUUAAAGAUUAGUUCAAGUCCGAAGAUAUAACAAAACAAAUGUUGGUCAAGAAUGAUGCUCAGAGCAAAAUCUUAUUCCAAUCAGCAGUAGUCUGAGACAACUAAUCAGCAGCAAUCUGGGGGCCAAUCCAACAGGCAUAUCAUCAGCAGCAAUCUUAUUGCAAUUAGCAGCAGUCUGAGAACAGUAAGAUAAAAAUUAGAUUGCCCAAGCGAGAAUAGAAACACGGGAGAGUAAAAGUAAAUAGUUUGUCAUGCACCUAUAGCCGAUCAAUAGAGCAACAAGUUUGACAACAUCGAAAACAAAUCUGCAGUAAAAAAGUAGAGUUAGUAAAUCUCAUGAAGUUUGGUCAGGAAUAAAACAAAAAAUUUAUAAGAAUGCAAGUUUAGGAGCAAAGAACUACUCAGCUUGCCUUGCAACUGGAGGUGAAGAGUAGAGUAUCCAAUGCGAAUACUACAGAAAUAAUACGCCGGAAAUAAAUCUGCAGGGAAAAAAUUGGGGAAGUAAAUUACCGAGAGGACAAAAAGUAAACAGAUCGACUUCUCUUUAAAAUGAAAGAAGGGGAAAAAAUAAAUGGAUAUUCAUUUCGGAUCCGGAACAAAAGCUCGCCACUUAAACUAAGCUGGGAAUUAGCAAUUCUGACAGCAAACCACAUUUUGCAAUGAAAUAAAUUAAAAAUUAAGCUGUGAAUCCUUUUUUAGAUUUCGAGUUGAAGUGAUGCGGCCAAUAAACAUUAAAAAGCAUGCCGAUGAAAUAAAUUAAAAAUUUAGGAAUUUUAUUCUAAACAAAGCUUAUGGAGUCUAUGCAGACUUUUCACCAAAUAUUAAUUUGCAUGUACAAAAAGGAAUUUUCUAGCAAGAAACUAUACCUCAAUCAAGAAUAAUUGUAUGUUACUUCAUUCUAAGAAGAUAAAGAAGAUAUCCCUAAAAAUGCUAUAAAUUAGUCGACCAGCCGAUCCAUUUCCUUGAACUUCAUUUUUUCCAAAUUAUUUUUAUCUAUUCUCUGGUCAACUAUUGAUGCAAAUGGUAUGAAAAUAUGAUUUUUAAAUACAAUAAAGGUGCAACUUUGUUUGCCAAGGAAGAACCGUCAGAGCAAGGAAUAAAAAUACAAUUAAAAAAUAACAAAAAACAUAGCACCAUAGAGGACGGAAUAAUUAGUAAACUAACACAACAAUGCAUGCAAGGCUCGAGCUCUGUAUUUGCAAGAAAUGAGUAAAAUUUACCUAUCCACCAGACAGAAAUACCCAUAGACUUGAAGAAGGUAGGGGUGUAUCAAUCAGCAUGAUAAUCCAUUUAUGAGGUUACAGAUAGCAUGAGAAAAUGAAAGUAUUUUAGUUCUCAUUUCCAAGAUAUCAGGCUAAACUGAAACUUCAUAUUAUACUUAAAUUGAAACUGCAAAAAAAUAAGUGGUAGGUUUUUGUAAAUUUGACAAUCUUAAUUCGACCGAGAUAAAAGUUGUGCAUUUCGCUUUAUUGGAGGGUGAAAAUUGCAAUAAGUAUUAAUUCAGAGAUGUAGUCACGAAUAAUUUGAGACGGUCAAGGAAACUUACAAAGAGGCUGUAUGCACUUGCACAUUAGAGGAAGAAGGAACAUCCCAUAACCUCAAAUUGAUGACGGUUAGAUAUAUGCGAGGAUAAAAAGCAUAAAACUCUUCAUUGACAUUCCACAUUACUUAAAAUCUAACAUAUCAAACUUGCCAUCCCAACCAACGGCAGCAAGUAUUAUGAUCUAAACACGACCAAUUAUCUAAUCACUCAUAAAGGAAACAAAUGAAAACAUAUCAAAGCAAGAAAAUAUAAUCAUCUAAAUAGUAAAAAUUUACUCAAACUUGCAUCAAUCAUAAUCAAUCGUAAGGUCGCCGAAAAUAAAGUUAGAACCAAAACGAACAUAUCAAAGUAAGAAAAAAUAAUCAUCUAAACAGUAAAAAUUUACUCAAACUUGCAUCAAUCAUAAUCAAUCCUAAGGUCGCCAAAAAUAAAGUUAGAACCAAAACGAUAAAAGGAGAAUAACAUUCAAAAAGCGGAAUCGUAGUUAGAUAUGCUAAUUAUCAAUUCCGGAGUGGUAGAACUUUAGCCCGUGUCAGUACAGGUAGUUGUUGAGCAAGGUGAAAUCGUAGACAUUGAGCACAAUGGAGAACCCUUUCGACGACCGCGUUGAAAGGGUUCUUCCGAAGAGGAGAUCUAGGGUUUCAUUGAGCACAAUGGAAAAUCCUUUCGACGACUGCGUCGAAAGCGUCAAAAGGUUCUUCCCAAGAAGAGAUCUAGGGUUUCUCAUAACAGGGUUGGGAAGUGAAGCAUGAGAUCGGCGGUGAACGAAGCAGGAACGGAGCAAGGUCAGACAAAAGAGGAGCAAGGAGAGAGAGAACCGGGCGAGUGCAUUCACAGCUAGUAAUGAAAAGAUUGGCGGUCGGUGCGCCGCUGCGAGGACGGCCGCUAAGGAAGCAAGUACGCCCUUAGCGGCGCGUAGGAGGCGGAGGUGUACGGGAGAGGAGAGGUGCUCAGCGGCGCGUAGGGGGCGUAGGCGUCCGGAAGAGGUGGGCCCACCUCCGAAAUUAAGGAGAAGAGAGUAAGGGAGAGUAGGGUGCGGAGAAGAAUAGGGCCCAACAUCUCAGAGAGAGAAAAGGAGAGAGGGUAAGAGAGAGUAGGGUGCGGGAGGUCCGAAAUCACGGAGAACGCAGGAAAGGGGUUAAGGGAGAGACCCGAAAUCACGGAGAACGCAGCAAAGGGGUUAAGGGUUCACCCUUUAAUGAUAUUGGAUAGAAUUGGAUAGAUAAGGCCCCAAUCCCAACACCCACGCUCCUCCCCCACCAUGACCGCCAUGUGGCAUUUUUUUUUAGGAAAAACUUCAAAAACCUCCCUGUGGUUUCACACUUUUUCAUUUUAGUACUCUGUGGUUUAAAGUGUAUCAAAUUAGUAUUAUAUGGUUUUAUUUUUGUAUCAAGUUAGUACCCUGUGGUUUUAUUUUUGUAUCAAGUUAGUACAUUGUGGUUUUUAAACCACAGGGUACUAAAGUGAUAACGUGCGAAACCACAGGGUACUAAAGUGAUAAAGUGCGAAACCACAUGGUACUAACUUGAUACACUUUAAACCACAGGGUACUAAAGUGAAAAAGUGCAAAACCACAUGGUACACACUUUAAACCGCAUGAUACUAAAGUGAGAAAAAGUGAACCCACAAGGGGGUUAUUUGAAGUUUUCCCUUUUUUUAAUAUGACAGGAUCUCAUAUGAUUUUGUACUUUCUCACUUUAGUACCUUGUGGUUUAAAGUGUAUCAAUUUAGUACUUUGUGGUUUUAUUUUUUUUAAUUAUUCAUUCCAUUAACUUUUUUGUUAAAUGAGCGACAAAGUUAAAAUUAAAUGGUACUAAAGUGAAUAUUCGAUAAACCUAAGUGGAGUAUUUGAAGUUUUUUGUAUAUAAUUUAACGAAAUAUUAAUGAAGGAGCUAACAAAAAGAGAAAAUGAAACCAUAGGAUACUAACUUGAUACACUUUAAAACACAGGGUACUAAAGUGAGAAAGUGCGAAACCACAUGAGUGGUAUUUGAAGUUUGCCCUUUUUAAUAAAUUAUAGAUUAUAUAUGAGUAUAUCUUAUAUACUCAGUGUACAACUUUUUUUACACCAUAUAAAAUAUUAAUUUUGUUAUAUCGACUAUUAAAAAAUAGGGUUGGUCCAGGCCGUGCUGGGCCUGGCCGAUCGCUAAAAGGUUUUAUUUUUUAUUUUUUAAAAAAUAUAUAUAAUUUAAAAUAUAAACAAAAAAUUAUUUUUAUUUAAAAAUUUUUAAUUUUUAAUUUUUUUGAAAUAAAAUUGAAGUGUUUUUGAUCCAAUGGACCAAAAACCUCCUCCCAAGGGAUGCUGUGGCAGACCUUGGGAGGAGAUCUCCUGCGGCCCUUUUCCCAAGACGAUUCGGGUCUGUGAGGACUGAGAAUUUUGUUGUGUAGCUAAACUUUUUGUUGACAAUAUUUUUAUGUGUAAUUUAAUUACAUAAGCACUCGUCAAGUUUCAGGAAAAAACGAGGUAGAAUGGAGAAGUUACGCGACCUUUACUAAUCACUUAGGGUGUGUUUGGUUCGAAGUCGGAAUCGAAGUCGGAAACGGAAUGGGAAUAAGCUGGAAUCGGAAUCGGAAUGACUCAUUACCUCAUUCUGUUUGGUUCGCCACCUAAAUCUGAAUCGAAAUGAAUCAUUCCCAUUGUUGGUGUUUGGUUCAAGUAGUUAUCAGAACGGAAUCAAAUUAAUAUACCAAUUUUACCCUUUUAAUAUAUUUUAAUUAUUUGUAACUAGUUUGAAUACUCGAUUUAAAAUAUAAAAAAAAACCAUGCUUAUAAGUUUUUUUUUUGAGAAGGACAAAAAAAAAAGCAUGACCUCAUAAUUACUAGUGUUCAUUCAUCCUUUCCUUCUUCUUACUCUUUUUUUUUUAUUUUUUUGAGAAAGUCCAAAGUCCAUGUGAUUUUUGAGAAUAAAAGAAAAAAAAAAAGAGAGUGAUUCGAGAGCAAAGUUGGCGGGGGAGGGGGGGAGGGAAUUACUUACGGGAUGAAGCUUGGGGAGCGGCGCGAGGAGAGUUGAGCGGCGCGGGAGAGGCGAGGGUUUUCUUUUUUUUUUUUUUUUUUAAAGUCUAAUGGAUGUAGGUUAUUUUAGUAAUAAAAUAAUUAAGUCGGGAUUCAAUUUUCAAUCCGGGGUACGAGGCCGGAUUCGUUUCUACCCGGAUUAGCCGAUUCCCAUUUCGGAAUGGAAACGGAAUCGGAAUGAGAUACGGCAUACCAAACAUCUAGAAUCGGAAUGGAUCAUUCCGAUUCCGAUUCCGGAGCUAAUAUUUAGCGAACCAAACACGCCCUUAAAGUGAAUAGUAACUCGGUUUUUUCUAAGAGACCAGUGAGUAGUGAUGGCUUAUGGUGCGUAUUGGACUCUGUUUAUAGUUAUCCAAUAGCUCGUUUUCAACGGUUCGACUAUCCUGGACCCAAUGGCACUGACGGAUUUGAGACGAUUUUCAAGAAAAAGAGAUUUUAUCGCAAAGAGAAUUUUGGAGAAUCGGAGAAAGGAUGGCUUUCGUCGCGAAUCGGCAACCUAAUCAAAUGAAACAAAAUUGUGGGUUUGAUGUCUCGAUCGUGCUGAACGUGCCGGCACAACCCAUUCGAAAAUCCGACGGACGGAUCUCCUAAUAUCGCAUGAGGAUCGAGGAGGGAUAAUAUAUGGCAAAACGAAAAUUUUGCGAAAAGCCCUUCAUUUUAUAUACCAAUUUGUGUGAAAUCGAAUAUAGGGGUACAUUAGCGCGUUUUACUCGCGCUGUGAAGGACUCAGAUUAAAAUAUCUAAAUUUUGGGGACUUUUGUGCAAAAUGAAAUGUUGUAUAUAUAGGCCAUAUAGGGUUUGCAUGGUGCAAACCCUAACCCUAGCCUUCUUCCUCCCUGAGCUAAGCCCCCAGUCGCCUCACCACCCGCCCCUGCCCUUAUUGCGCGCACCCCGGCUGCUGGCGCGCGCCUUCGACCACCGGAAAGCCAUAUUCUCUCUCCCUCAACCUCACAUUGCUUUUCUUGGCUCUCCAUCCCUGCCGAGCACAAGUGGAGGGUCCAUCUCCCUCCGGCCCCUCACCAGUGCCUCCUUCGGGCCUCCGGCGACCCUCCCUGUCUACUGCCGCCGCCUCCGGGCCCAGCCACCGCACUGCAGCAACCCCGCGGCCAUCGUGGGUGAGCUCGGGCCGAGGAGACAAUGCGGCUCAUUCCCCGCGCUGCUUCCACUCGGGACUGCCCCCGUGACCUCCCUCCGACCUCUUGCGGCCCGUCGCCGCCGCCCCGAGGCUCCUGGCCACCGCUGUGGCUGCUGCAACCUGCUGAACCCGAGUUCAGCCCGUGCGGGCUCGGGUUGCUCUAGCGCCGCCACAGUCGCCGCCUUCCGCCGCCGGCCAGUGUGAGCACCAUCUUACCCUGGUCGGCUGCACUUGGUUGCCGCCGAUGGCCUUGCCAUGAGAGCCCCCUGCCGGCCGGAUUAGAGCCGAGCUCUUCGUCAUUCCGUGUGGCUAGGGUAUCAGUGCCUGCCGCCGCCGCCUUCCGUCGCCAGCCGACACGCGCCCGGACUUCCCUCUGCCUGAUGCACCCGCCUACCGCCAGCUUGCCCCCUGCUGUGCCGCCGCCGCUGUGCCCUGGCUCCUUUGCCCGGUAAGCUUUUAUUAAGCUGUUUGUGCACUAUUUUGGUUUGCAAUCGCUGUUCCGACGACUUGGGGCUAUUCCAAUGCCUCCAUAGGUGAGCACGGUGAUCGUCGGUCAGUGCUGAUCACAGUGCUCACCUCAUUUUGGGUCAACGAGCCCCGAAUUGGUGAAUUAGAUGCGUUUUAGUUUCAGCGCGCAGGGUUCGUAGAUUUUCGAGUUGCUUCUGUGCUCUCCACAGUGGACGGUUGUGCUCCGGAUUGUGAACACGGCCUCCGGCACGUCGAGACCUGUUAGUACAUGUCUCGGUCGACCUCGAAAGCCCUCGGUUUGCUGUAACGACCCAUAAAAUCUGGUAAAUCACAUAAAAUAAUGUGAUUUUAGGGAAUAGUAAGGGCUUUUGUGCACUGUGGGCAGUACGUGUGGGCUGCGAGUGACCUCUGGACUGAUUGUCCAAGGUUUGAUGCCCUUCGCGGAAAUCGAGUAUCGAUUUCCAGUGCGUUUUUUGGCGAAAUUCGCCAACAGAACGCGGUUCGAUUCAGAUUUCUUCCGACAAUGCUAAAGUUAAGAUUUUGAAUUGGAAUUCAAAUAUUUGAUUUUGACUUUGAGAUUGAAUUUGAAUGCAUAACUCAAAUUUUGACAUAUAAUAUAUGUCGAUAUUUGAAAUAUUCGACUCUAAAUUCAAAUUUGAACUCAAAAUCUAAAUUCAAUUUAAAUUUAAAUUUGAAGUCUAAAUUUGAAUUUCUAAUUUGAAUUCAAUUUCUAAAAUACAUUCCAAAAUUUGAAUUCAAAAUCAAAAUUAGAAUUAGAAUUUGAAAGUUUGAAUUCUUAAUAUGAAUAUGAAAUUGGAAUUUAAAAUCUGGAGUUGAAUGUAAAAUUAAGUACAAAAUUUGAAUUGGAAUUCAAAAGUAAAUUAUAAUUUGAAAUUUGAAUCUAAAAUCAAAACUAAAAUUUUAAAUUCCAAUCGAAAAUCAAAUUUAAAUUUGAAAUUUAAAUUUAAAAUUUUAAUGUAAAUCUAAAGUUCAAAUCCAAGAUCUAAAUUUAUCUAUACAACUAUAUAAAUUAGUUAUCGAGUAGAUAUUUUUAAGUGUAUAAUAAUAUAAUUACUACCGACCAUCCCUAGCGCAAGUGACAAAGGACUUAGUAAUUGGUAUCCGAGAUCCCAAGUUUGAAUCUUAGUUGAUUCAUAUUUUCAGCUAAGUUUAUUUUUUAAAAAAUAAACGAAACGGAUAAUAUGCAACCUUUCUCACAAUAUAUAUAUAUAUAUAUAUAUAUAUAUAUAUAUAUAUAUAUAUAUAUAUAUGUAUACCAACAUGUGUCUAGUUCUUGUACUUUGGUAGCAUUUUAUCUCAAGUAAACUAUGUUUCGUACAUGACAUUUUUGUCAAUUAUGCUACUUUGUUNAUAUAUAUAUAUAUCGGGCGGAAAUGAUCAAAAGGUAGAUCUAACGGUAGAAAACUCAAUAGUACCAAUGGCUUGGUACUAUUGAUAGUAUAGUAGCCGGACUAUAUAUAUAUAUAUAGUGAGAAAGAGUUAGGCUGGAAUACUCUUAAGAGUAUCCAGCCCAUUUUGCUAUAGGGUUUCCAGCCAUUGGAUCCUAUUAAGAUUCGUGCAGAGAAAAGGGUGAAACGGACAGAGAACGGCGCCGUUACUGUGAAGUGAGAAAGGAAAAGGUUACUUUCCCUUCUCUGUCGGUCUCUCUCUCUCUUUCUCUCUUUCUCUCUCUCUCUUUCUUUCUCUCAUCUUCAUUCUCUCCUUCCCCUGUUCUCUGUUACUCUCUCAUCCCCACUCUCUUCGUCUCGAUCUCACCUCUUCUCGAUCUCACUUCGAUCUCACUCGGGGAGCGGUCGCACCGUAGCACCCAGCAGCCAAGCUUUUGGAGGAAGCUGCCUGCACCUUCGCAAUUUUUGGAGCAGGCCGAACCCACGCGUAAUUCCUCUCGAUCUCACCUCUUCUUUUUUUUUUCUUUUUUUUUUUGCAAAAAAAUAGGGAUUAGUUAUUUUAUGGGUUCUUGUAAUUAUAUGAUGUUUAGUUUUUUUUCUUGCAAAACUUUGAAGCCUUCAUAUAUUUUUAUCACUAGUUUCGUUUUCCGACUUCAGUCAUGCUUACUACUCUGCUACAUUCUAGUAAGGUUCAAAUGUUCUUAUACAUAAAAAUAGAUGUGUGGGAACUCUUUAUCUAAAGCACAGUAACCUCAUGUAUUACCCACCACAAGGCACAAGUAUUGCCUCAGAGUAUUGCAAAAAAAUAGAGAUUAGUAAUCUUAUGGGUUCUUGCAAUUAUACGAUGUUUGGUUUUUUUUCUUGCAAAGAAAUAGAGAAGUUUGUUAUAUUUAUGGGAUUUCUUUUUUCCACCCAAAAAAGAGAUUUGUGGGUUCUUAUUAAAAUUUUUCUUUUAUUAAUGUCAGUUUUUAUAAUGUUAUGUCAAUUUUUAUAAUGUCAGUUUUAUUUUUGAUGAGCUCUAUAAUGAGAUUUCACUUGUUAUAUUUUACCUUACUAAAAUUAUUAUGUAGUCAUUUAAAAAAUUUUACUUUUUAUAAAAUUAACAUAUGGAUAGUGGGGAUGUUUACUAUUCACAUGGCUCAGAUGAUUUUGAUGAUGUAUCUUCAAAUAGGCAAGAAACCGAAUCUCCAUUUGGUGGUAUGAGUUAUUCUCAAAAUAGAGAGGAUGUUGGAACUUUUCAAGUUGAUUCACAAAACAGAGAAUUAACUCCUUUAAUCCAGCAAGAUCAAGACACCCCAAAUAUAAUUGUUCAUGCUGCAGAAUCAUCAAUUAAUGAGCCACGCAUUGGAUUGGAGUUUAAAUGUGAGGAGAAAGCACGGAGAUUUUAUAAUAUCUAUGCAUAUAAAACUGGAUUUAGCAUACGGAAAGCUAGUCAUUACAAAGCAAAAAGGAAAAAUAAUAUGGUUACAUCGCAUUACUAUGUUUGCUCAAAAGAAGGACAUUACAAAUGUCACGCCCCGGGACCCAGCGGAAGCCCGCCCGGCGCGUGCCCAGACCCGCCAUAUGUCUACAACAUAUAAGGCGUCUAAAAACAACAAUAAUAAAGCCAUAAUAAAAGACAUCUAGGUGUAUCAGAGCGUAAUAAAUGUCUAAAUGCUACAACAAGAAAUAAGGAUGAAACUGUAAAUUCACUAAAUAAGACAUAAAGUAAAUACAAUAGGAAAUCCCAAAUACAAGUACUAAAAGUAGGUACAUAGGUGGUCUCUACACAUGGAUACAAAAUCUCUCACUCUCCCAACUACAAAAGAAAGAGCAAACCACCUAGGCAAAGAACCGCUCCUCGCUAGCUAGCUAAGCGAUCCCCUUGCCGCGAUCCCGUGCCUCCGCCGGUGCCGAAGGCUCUGAAAAGUAAACCAUAAAACAGGGGCGUGAGAACUAUUAAAAAUAGUUCCCAGUGGGCAAUUACUGACUUCAGUGAAUGCACCACAAGGCCCAAAGCUACAAAAAGAGGUCAGUGACUAACAAUGUAGUAAAGCGACAGGUAAGUAAAAUGUAACUCACUAUAACAUAGAAUUUCUACUUAGUAUAAUUUGCACAAGUAAUGAAGCAACGAUAUCAUGAAUGUACAUGGAUGUGUAUGACAUGCAUCAGCAUAGAAAUGCAACCAAUCCGAUGUCCUCAAUGCAAAAAUAGUAAAGAUGUCAUUGUUUACUAUUCUAGUCCAAGUCCACUUUAAUAGUUUUAAAGUUCACAUAGCAUGUUCUGUCACUAAGUCCCAAUCAUAUAAGACCCACCCGAAGGCUGUCUGGCCUGCGCCGUGCCUAAUGGCCCCGUGGUAGUCAACAUCCCCACUCUAGGGAUGAGCCUCCCCCACGGCGAUCCACUUCGGCGCCCAAUCCCGCACGGCGAGCAUGUGUCGCGAUGGCUAUCUCCGGAGUGCCGGCUUGUAGGGAGCGACCCUCACAAGCAUGUGCGAAUGAGCACAAAUGGCAAGCAAGCAAUGAUCUGUCUCAAGUACCAAGUCCUCAUGUCUAAAACAUGGAAUAUGUCAAGUACCACGAUGGCCUAUCUCUAUGUCGUCAUGUCUCUAACAUGGAAUAUAGCAGAUACGUAAUGGCCUAUCAAUAUGUCUCUAUGUUGCAGUUUAAAUGUUUACUAGUUCCAAGUGCCUCUUGAUGACCCUUUUUGCUACUAAGUUCAAACAUAGUAUAAUGUUUCCCAUACAUGAACAUAAGCUAAAUUAGCAUACUAGACGAGAAUCCCAUUCGUCCACAUGAACCCACCCCACAUGCAUGACAAUAACCUUGAUUACUCUACCAUCUAGAGUGAAAUUUAACUUACACAUAGGGCAUGCAUUUUAGGGGUUCUAAAUUUCACAUAAAUUCCAAUUAGCAUAGGAAAGCAUUUAAAAAUAAGUUACGAAUAGUUUAGAAUGCACAGGGGCCAUUUCGCCCCAUUUCCAUGAAGUCAAACCCACCGAUGACGACGAAACUCCUCGUUCGCUCCAACGAGGGUGUCCCCUAGUCUCCUAGUAUCCUAGAGGUAUAGAAACAUGUGUCAAACAAGGCUCACGAACAAAGCUAAGCUCAAACAUUAAGCUUCUCUAGCUAGGUUGGAGAAAACUCACCGAAAGCUAAAGAAUCUCUCUCGAUCUCAAAAAGGGAGUUAGAUUCCUUCAAAUCCAACCUAAAUCAAAGUUCUAAACCAAUCAAUUUGGUUCUAGAAGCUACAAAUCAAAAAUCCCCAUUUUUAGCCCUAAAACUCAAAAUCUAGGGUUUCAUCUAGUAGAAGAUAUUAAAACUUGAUCCAAAAGGGAGAUUUAGCUUACUAACCUCACAAGAUGCCCAAAACCAAGCUCCAAGCCAAGUGGAGUUGAAGUUUGAUCCUCCAACAAGCUCCAACCAAGAUCUCAACCUUCUCCAAUGGUGGAAAUCCUAAAAAAAAGCAAGAAGGAGAAAAAAAGAGAGAUCAAAACCACUAAAAACCCACCAAAAAAGGAGAUCAAACCAAGAGGGGAAGACUCACCUUGCUCUCCUCUGGUUAGGGCUCAAAAAGAGCAGCAAAGGGGCUGGGGUAACUUAUAAAGAGUAUUGCAACAAUUGCAAAAAGACCCCUCCACGAAAUCUGCCCAGAGGCAUUGUGUACCGGUACACGGGAAAGUGUACCGGUACACUUCCUGCGAAACAGCCCAACCCGAGCCUCGGUUUGACAGAAAAUCUAUUGUGUACCGGUACAACCAUCAAGGCGUACCGGUACAAAUUCUGUACCGGUACGACCAUCAAGGCUGUACCGGUACAAAUUCUGUACCGGUACGACUAUCAAGGCUGUACCAGUACACAGCCUGGCUGAGGCUAAUCCGAGAGUACUCCAACAAUCCACCCUUUUGGGAUUUUGGUACGGGUUUAAACCCUCGAUUCUCGGGGUGCGAGCCAUAGGUCGGAACACUGUCUACGACCCUUCAGAAAGUCUGGAAUAGCUCGGCACACAGAUCAAACACUCGAACCUCGCGAUUUGCAUAGGUCCAGUGUGUUACAUUCACCCCUCCUAAAAAGGAGUUUCGUCCGCGAAACUCGAAAGUCAAAGCAUACCUCAUGGCUCCAUCUGAAAAAGAUGGGGAUAGCGCUCCUGCAGCGCACUCUCUAGCUCCCACGUGGCCUCCUGCUCCCCGUGGUUGCUCCAAAGGACCUUCACAUACGGAAUAUCCCGAUUCCGCAGCUUCUUUACUUCGCGAGCCAAAAUCUUCAUUGGUUCCUCCUCGAAGCUCAAAUCCUCGCGCAGUUCCACUGGUACGGCUUCCAAAACAUGAGCUGGAUCAUGAAUGUACCUCCGAAGGACCGAUACGUGAAAGGCGUUGUGCACGCCCGAUAGGUUCGGUGGUAAAGCAAGUCGAUACGCUACCGGACCUACACGCUCCAAGAUCUCAUACGGUCCAAUGAAACGGGAGCUCAACUUUCCCCGAAUCCCGAAUCUCUUGAUUCCUCUAGUUGGCGAGACCUUUAAGAAAACAUGGUCUCCAACUUGGAACUCCAAGUCUCGCCGUCGUCGAUCGGCGUAGCUCCUCUGUCUACUCUGCGCCGCCAAAAGUAGCUCUCGAGCAAUUCGAACCUUGUCCUCAGCUUCCUGGAGCACAUCAGGGCCUAAAGCCAAUCUCUCACCGACUUCACUCCAAUGAAGUGGCGAUCUACACUUCCGUCCAUAAAGUGCUUCGAAGGGCGCCAUCUUGAUGCUUGCUUGAUAACUGUUGUUAUAAGCAAACUCCGCCAUAGGUAGAUACUGCGACCAUCCUCCCUGGAAGUCUAUCACACAUGCCCGGAGCAUAUCCUCUAAGGUCUGUAUAGUGCGCUCCGACCGUCCAUCGCUCUGCGGGUGGAAUGCUGUACUGAAAUCCAAUCGGGUGCCUAAGGCGUCCUGUAGACUCCUCCAAAAGUAAGACACAAACCGAGUGUCCCGAUCAGAUACAAUCGAUGUAGGCACUCCAUGAAGCCACACAAUCUCAUCAAGGUACACUUGUGCGAGCUUCUCUCCGGUCCAAGUCGUAUGAAUAGGUAUGAAGUGCGCCGACUUCGUCAACCUAUCCACGAUCACCCAAAUAACAUCGUGCCCUGCUUGAGAGCGAGGCAACCCUGUCACAAAGUCCAUGGUGAUCUUCUCCCACUUCCACACUGGAAUAGGCAAACUCUGAAGCUUCCCCGCGGGAACUCGGUACUCUGCCUUCACUUGUUGGCAAGUUAAGCAUUUAGCGACGAACUCGCCAACAUCCUUUUUCAUCCCAGGCCACCAAUAGAGCAACUUUAAGUCCUUAUACAUCUUGGUGCCACCCGGAUGUAUAGCAUAGGGCGCCCGGUGCGCUUCUUGAAGAAUAUCCUCUUUAAUUCUUGAGUCCGCCGGAACACAUAGCCGUCCACGGAAUCGCAUCAAUCCCUGAUCAUCCAAAAGGAAGUCGCCGAUGCAACCCUCAACCAUUUUACCUCGAAUCUUUUGCAACUCCACAUCGGAAGCUUGCUUUUCUUUAAUUCUAUCCAAAAGGGUAGGUUGCACUACCAUAGUCAUCAACCUCAAGGGUGUGUCGGGGGUGACUACCUCCAACUCCAACCGCUUCAUCUGCUCGAUCAACUGCGGUUGAGUCACAACAUGCAUCGCCAAGUUUUCCAUCGUUUUCCUACUUAGCGCAUCCGCUACCACGUUAGCCUUACCCGGGUGGUAAAGAAUCGUCAGAUCAUAAUCCUUGAGCAGCUCCAACCAUCUGCGCUGUCUCAGGUUCAACUCCUUCUGAGUAAACAGGUAUUUNNNNNNNNNNNNNNNNNNNNNNNNNNNNNNNNNNNNNNNNNNNNNNNNNNNNNNNNNNNNNNNNNNNNNNNNNNNNNNNNNNNNNNNNNNNNNNNNNNNNUGUCGGGAUCCAUGCCGCCUCAACUGCCGGAAUCGCCUGCCACGUGCCGAACCUACACAAACCUCAUCACGGGUGCACUGCAAGCCUCACAAACGCCAAGCCCUCGCCUACCCGGCAAGGUGUGCUACGAGCACAAGGGAUACCCCGGGAGGCCGCAAGCCUAUCCGAUCCAAAGGCAGGAGACACAAGCUUGAGUAACAUAUAUUUACUUUCCCUGCGCCUCCUAGUUUUGUUUUAUUCCAGUUGCAUAGGGUUGCAAUAACUUAGACUCUAUCCUCUGCAUAAUUAGUCUUUACAUUCACAAACGAUUUCUUACCUAUUGGGUCGUAUUAAUUAAUUUAGUAAAAGUGAGGCCUCUUGGCUCAUGCCAUAAUGAUUAAAUUGAGAUGACGUAGUGGAUUGCGGAAGCGUUAAACAUCAUUGGUGGUGACUUGAAACAUGAGUUUAUGUAUAAAGAUUAAGAAACAGGAGAAAAAAGAUCUAAUGAAAGUGAAAUAUGAAGCUUUUUUAUCAAAAAUUUCUUGUAUGUAUCCCUAUAAAUAUCAUUCGCACCUAAGAAAUAUUCUUGGUUGGUACUUUUACUAAAACAAGAUAUCUCUAGCAUUUCUUUUUUAUUUAGUAUUAUUUCUAAAAUCGUAGAUUUGCCCUUAAGUUUUUUGUCUAAUAUAUGCUGAGCUAGUUCAUCACUUUAGUGUUAUUUAGUUCUAUAUAAGCUUCUAUUCUGUCAAUUUACUAUUUACAAGUAGUAUUAGAACGCUGAAUAAUAGUUUAAAUUUUAGGAAUACAAUCAUUCCUAAUCAACACUAUUAGCCAUUGUAUUGGUCAACAAGCUCAUUGGUAAAGUUACCAAAGUGAAAUGAAUAGAAUUUUCUUGAAAUUUUACAGUACGGAGAGCAACAUCCUUCUUGGUUGAAAACUUCUUAUUUGGCAUAUUUUUCUGAUUUUUCUUCAAUUCUACAUAUUUGUUUACCCUCUUUUGACAUAGGAAGUCAUAACAUUUCUUAUUUUUUAAUUUGCAAAUAAACUAUUGAUCUUUCUAUCAAUUCUUUUCUUUAUUAAUUGGUUAUAGAUGAAGUCCAUUUCAUAAUUGUUCGAUAUCAUCAUUUUAUGAUUAUGGUUUUCUAACUGAUUUGUUAUUUUUUUAAAUAUAAUUUGCAAUAGUUUGGCGAAGUAAGUUGUUAAUUUUAAAAUUGCUAUGUGUUUCGAAUAGUAAGCAGCUAUUAGUGUCUAUUCUAUCUAAAUAGUCUAUUAUUUUUAUGGAUUUUUGAGUUGGGGCUCAAUUUCUAAUGCUAAUUGUUUCUUUUCUACCCUAAUCCUUAUAGUUGAGCGCUGAAGUUUUGUCCUUAUUUAUCUCUUUUAAAACAUAUUGUAUUUGUCAUAAACAAAACACUAAACACCCAAAAAAAUCUUACAGAUUGUGAAUAUAAUGGACAAAAAGUUGGUAAAAAGUCCAGACUAUGAUAUUGCUUACAUUGAUGGAUUGUCUAGAAAUUUAUUAAAUUUGCCUAUGGAGAAUCAUCCAUAAAUGGCAAGUUCUAUGCCCAUGAUCGAUAAGUGUUACACAAAUUCUUCUUUAUACACAAGUUGUUGAAGAACAUUUAGUGAUUGGAAUCGGGUUUUUUAUUAGGUUAAUGUUUGGGUAUUUCAUGGAGAGUCAUUUGUCACAUCCCAAAUGAAAUCGAAUUUACUCAUUUGCUGCCAACGAUCUCGUAAUGCACAAGAAAGAUUAGUUCCAAGACAAGAUGGUCUAGAGGGAUUGCUGCAAUUGUUUUUGGAAUUAUUGGGCACCUAAUUUGAAAAUAAUGACAAGUAAUGAUGAGACUAUUUUUAAUUUAGUUUAGAAGAAUGUAAUUGACGCAGGCGUAUCUAUGGAUUCUCGGCGAGCAAAAUUUUAUGAACGGUCGAUGCAUUAUACACCUAAGGAACAAUCGAUAUAGUAACUUGUCCGUGAAAGAUUGUGAUAAAGACAAAGGAAAUUAUAUCCAGGUUGUAAAACUUCAAGAUAUCGUUCAUUCUUCACUUAUUCACCUACAAAUGCUUAAACGGGUGGUCCGGAAAAUCCUUUACAAUGAUUGCCUCCAAUUAUUAAAAAUUCAUUUCCUGAGGCAACUCUUUGCCAUCCCCCCAUCUUAUUAUGAAGCUAAAAGCGAUAAAAGAAUUGGGUCUUUGGAUAUGAGAGAUUCAUAUUUGCGACCUAAUGAUUGUAUGUUAUAUUGGGGUGAGACGAAUAAUCAGAGUAUUGUAAUGAGUGUGGAUCUUCACGGUGGACAAGUGAAUAAAGAUGAUACUUGGUUGUUCUUGAUGAUUUGAAAGGAGAAAAAGCCGCGUCAAUGAUAUUACGCUAUUUUCCUUUGAUGACACAAGAUUAAAAGAAUUUAUAUGUCUCUAAAAUUGUUUCGUUAAUGAGAUGCAUGUGGAAGUCGCAUUCAAAGAUGGAAUCUUGAGACCACCAGACGAUGGCCCUUGCAUGGAAAAUCGUUUGAUGAUCUUAUCAUGAUUUUUUCUUCCGAUCCUGUAAGUGUAUAGACUUUGGUCCUUGCUAUCGGACGGAUUCAAUUCUUUUCGAACAAUCAGUAUACUUAUGCACUUGGCGGUGACUAUUCAUUCCUUAUUAAUUUACCUCAGGGAUUAAUUGCAUGAAAAUCGUCUUCAUUUUAUCACAAUGGUCAUUACGGCUGAAAAAGGUCCAGCGGUAAUGAUAUUGAAUAAUUAUUUGCACCUUUCAAUAGCGGCAGUUAAAACACUUUGGUAUGGUGUGAUGGCUUUGAUGCUUCUAUAAGCAAAAUUUGUUCACUGAAAUGAGGGUCUCUUUAUGAUGGACAUUAAUUGAUUUUCCCUGCCUAUGCUAAUUCUAUCUGGUUGGAGCACAAAGGGACGUGUUUUAGCCCUUGUGUGGGUUUUCAACGAUAAUCACGUUGGUUGAACAAUAGUAAGAAUUCUGUAUAUAUGGGCCAUCUGAUCGGAUGGUUGAACCAAAUCAUCCUUUCGAUAUCACAAAAUUAUUUGAUGGCACUCAUAGAGUGCGUUCCGCUCCAAUAUCACAUCUGACAUUGAAUGUCCUAACCGGCACACUACAGGGCAUAACCUUCAUAAAUUAUGGCAAAGGCCUUCAAAAUAACUCAAAAAAGGAUAAGAGGGAAACGUUGAUAGUUCUUUAUGCAAAUCAAGCAUUGAUGACGUUGCACUACAAAUCAAGUAGAGUGUUAGAGAUACCGAAUGAGUUCAUGGACAGAUGAGCCAUGGAUUUCAUGAAGUUGGUCAGAUUGAUUAGUGAUAACAUUAGAUGCAUCACACAAAUGAUGUAGGUGGAAAAAUUGUGGUAAGGAAAAAAGCAUCUUUUUGAACUGCAUAUUGGAAGUACAAUCCUAUUCGACAUAAUUUAGAUGUUAUGCAUAUACAGAAGAAUGUAUUGCGAAUAAACUUUAAUUGGAACCUUUCAUUUUUUGAAUAAUGCAAUGGUAGGAACUAAGACAAUUUGAUAUAUGCACGCGAUUGGCACCUAAUAGAUAUGGGCAUACGACAUGAUCUACAUCCCAAGUUGCAAUCGCAACAACAAAACUAUAAUACCUCAUGCAAUUACACUAAUGUCACACAAGACAAAGGUAAACUUUCUGACGGUUUGAAAAAUAUUAAAGUUCGGAUGGAAUAUGCAUCGACAUACGCAAGAUGUGUGAAAUCAUAAAGAACGAACACUUUCAACCAUCAAGAGUCAAUGAUGGGCACAUAUUUUAUGCAGGCUAUUCUUACCAUAAUAGCAUUUGAGCAGCAUCUAUGCCAAAACAGAUUAUCACAAUUGUUUCGGGAACUAUCAUUAAUAUUUUCAAAUCAAUAUGCUUUUCCAGCAAUCUCUUGAUCCAAAAGUCCUUGAUCAGUGGAACUCAAGUGCUUGCAAUUAACACUAUCCACAUAGAGAACAAUAUUCCUCCCAGUUUUUUUCACUUGUCAAUGUUUACUCAUUAUUCACUUAAGAUCGC